This 228-nucleotide ribosomal RNA is filed under the name Verrucaria hunsrueckensis. RNAcentral describes it as "partial 18S small subunit ribosomal RNA". The record is from RNAcentral. Lineage: Eukaryota; Fungi; Ascomycota; Eurotiomycetes; Verrucariales; Verrucariaceae.
CAACGACUGUAACCAUGUGUAUAGUCUAGAUCUGGUUCGAUCUAGGCGACGUCGCCCCUGUGCUGGAACCCCACAAUUUUUGUGGGGGACCAGCAGCCAGUUUUCUGGUCCACAGAUUAGGUGGUGGCGGUCUCAGGCUUUGAUGCUGGGAUCAAGAUAUAAUCGGUCUCCAUAGCUAUGACUGUGGUUGAGAAACGUUCCGUAGGUGAACCUGCGGAAGGAUCAUUA